GGGUGUAUAGCUCAGUGGUAGAGCAAAUGAUUAGCAUGCACAAGGUCCUGGGUUCAAUCCCCAGCACCUCUG
Molecule: transfer RNA, 72 nt
Filed under: Camelus dromedarius (Arabian camel)
Lineage: Eukaryota; Metazoa; Chordata; Mammalia; Artiodactyla; Camelidae
Also listed under: 1 other name
Rfam family: tRNA
About the family: Transfer RNA (tRNA) molecules are approximately 80 nucleotides in length. Their secondary structure includes four short double-helical elements and three loops (D, anti-codon, and T loops).
Source: Rfam by way of RNAcentral